UACGUAGGGUGCAAGCGUUAAUCGGAAUUACUGGGCGUAAAGCGUGCGCAGGCGGCUUUGCAAGACAGAUGUGAAAUCCCCGGGCUUAACCUGGGAACUGCAUUUGUGACUGCAAGGCUGGAGUGCGGCAGAGGGGGAUGGAAUUCCGCGUGUAGCAGUGAAAUGCGUAGAUAUGCGGAGGAACACCGAUGGCGAAGGCAAGCCCCUGGGCCUGCACUGACGCUCAUGCACGAAAGCGUGGGGAGCAAACAGG
This 253-nucleotide ribosomal RNA is filed under the name uncultured bacterium. RNAcentral describes it as "partial 16S ribosomal RNA". It matches the Rfam family "Bacterial small subunit ribosomal RNA", at positions 524 to 776 of the family's 1533-position model. The record is from RNAcentral.